This 253-nucleotide ribosomal RNA is filed under the name uncultured bacterium. RNAcentral describes it as "partial 16S ribosomal RNA". It matches the Rfam family "Bacterial small subunit ribosomal RNA", at positions 524 to 776 of the family's 1533-position model. The record is from RNAcentral.
UACGUAGGGUGCGAGCGUUAAUCGGAAUUACUGGGCGUAAAGCGUGCGCAGGCGGUUUUGCAAGCCGGGUGUGAAAUCCCCGGGCUCAACCUGGGAAUGGCAUUUGGGACUGCAAGGCUCGAGUGCGGCAGAGGAGACUGGAAUUCCUGGUGUAGCAGUGAAAUGCGUAGAUAUCAGGAGGAAUACCGAUGGCGAAGGCAGGUCUCUGGGCUGACACUGACGCUCAUGCACGAAAGCGUGGGGAGCAAACAGG